Long non-coding RNA from Camelina sativa (false flax), 717 nucleotides. RefSeq lists it as uncharacterized. Lineage: Eukaryota; Viridiplantae; Streptophyta; Magnoliopsida; Brassicales; Brassicaceae. The record is from RefSeq and is a predicted model, not a curated record.
AGAAAAAACAAAAAAAAAAACAAAAAAAACUGAUAAGGGAAGAGAGGUUUUAUAAUUUGACCUGAAGCCUCGGGCGGCUGAGACUGAGAGAGGAAAAACCAUGGAGGACCAUCAUCUUCCCGAGACUUUGAAACCCUUCUUUCACAGAGCCACUGAAGCACAGGAGCGAUUGGCUAAAGCUUGAAGCUGCUGUUGCGUCGACCAAGACAGUUUCUUUCAGAAACUGUUCCCAAUAAUCUCUGGAACAAUUGGUUGAGGAGUUACGUGAUAUAAUAUACUCUUUUUUUUUUUCAGACAUUCCGGAUGCUAAACUUGUUGAGGAAAUUGCUCAAAUUCAGUCGAAGCUUGAAGAAGCUAACGCCACUGUGAUGCAAGAACAGAGGAAGGUGAAGGAAGUGACCAUUGAAAACGAUAAGCAAAAGUACCGUAUAUUGCAACUUGUGCGGGCGCUAAAGGAUGCUGAUGAGAAGCUUGAGAAACUCUCUAAUAAGUGAUUUCAUUCUUCUUUCUCUUUAUUCUGAUUCGUUUUCUUUAACAUCCUUACUGAGGAAAGGAUACUCUCUACUCAGUAAUAUUAUUUUUAACUGACAAGGUAUCAUAAAGGAUUGAGUUUUGCUACUCUUAUCCUGCUCUGUGUUUGUGUGUGUAUCAUAAGCGAAUCUGCAGUUUCUAGUUUCGCAAUGUCCAUAUGGUGAUUUAAUGAAGAUAUUUAUACCA